Molecule: long non-coding RNA, 228 nt
Filed under: Manihot esculenta (cassava)
Lineage: Eukaryota; Viridiplantae; Streptophyta; Magnoliopsida; Malpighiales; Euphorbiaceae
Description: long non-coding RNA (MESC_LNC001639)
Source: RNAcentral
AGGGCCUCCGUAUUGAAACGAGCGACAUACUCUCUGAGUGAUUCGCCCCCUCUCUGUCUUACUGUCUCCAAGUAGCUCGUCUUCCUCUCUGCUGGCACCCCGGCUAUGAAUCGACUGAUGAAGCGAGUGGCUAGGUCUCCGAAACUUCUGAUACUUCCGGCCUCAAGGCUGUUGAACCACGCCCGCGCUGGUCCCGAGAGCGUCGUUGGAAACACUUUACACAUUAAG